Molecule: long non-coding RNA, 1193 nt
Organism: Mauremys reevesii (Reeves's turtle)
Lineage: Eukaryota; Metazoa; Chordata; Testudines; Geoemydidae
Exons: 4
Source: RefSeq, a predicted model, not a curated record
CAGGGGCGCGAGCGUUUCGCGCGGCGGCCGCCCCGCGGGAGGCUGGGUCCGUCAGCCCGUCACGCUCCCCGGCCGGGCGGAGGGGAGCCCUGAGCAGCGGAGUGAGGCUCUUCCCCAUCUCCCCUCCCCCCACACCGCUCCCUCGUGCCGCCCCACCCACCGCCACGCGCAGCCCCGCUUUGGCCCGGCGUGUCCUCGCCCCGUGUCCCCACCGCACCCCCCAUCUAGGGCGGGAAAUAAUGGGGGGCACACAGGGGCUGCAGAGAGUCCCUGUACUAGAGGGUGGCCAUGGGGCAGCGGAGGCUGGGGGGAUGCAAGGAGCCCCGCAGCGGGUGCAAUGCGCUUGGCCUGCAGCAGCAAAGCACCCGCCUAUCCUGGGCGGUCAGGGAGUGAUUUCCCAGCCUGGGAAAUGGCGCUGCUAACACGCUUUGGGGGGGACCGAUCUGUGCACACUCGAUGCUGUGCAGGGGUGACGUGUUGCGGUGACUCUCAUAUAUACACCUCUAUGCGCGGCCCGGUUAGCUUGCGGUAUAUGAUGCCAAUGUUGCCUCGAACCAAACUCUCCCGCACGGAAAGCGCGAGCUCCAGAUUUUUUUUUAAACAGAACUGAUUAUCAUGAUGCGGUGUCUUGACCUAUCUGCAAAGUUCCUGUAAUAUGAUUGAUCCAUCAAAGUUCAGCAGGAGCCAGUCAAGAAGUGUACCAAAAAUAUUGCACAAGAUAAUCUGGGUGACAAGAGUUUGUGGUGGAAUGGCCUCCAGUUUGGUGUUUACAGCUUGUAAGUCUGGACUACUCAAACUCUACAUACAGCAUCUACAUACUUUGAAGGAAUAAACUAAAUCCCUGAUUUAACAUUCGCUGGCAGACCAAGUCCAUUCGCUUACAAACCUAUUUUUAAAAUACAGAACAAAGGAAACUUCAAAUGUCUCAAACCAAACUACAGGUUGUUUUCAUGAUUAGUCAGUCUGUACUUGUUCAAUGGUGCAAGAUUAGUUUUUAUUCUUUCUGAUUUGCAAACUAAUCCUAAACUGGAUAAAAUGUCAACUACAAUGCAAAAUAAAAUUGUUUGCCCUUUACUGAUCCUUUGUUAUAUAAAAGGCAACUUCAAAAUUCAUUGAAAUCUGUAUCACUUCUUCCUUCAUGUUAAUAAAGGUUAGCAGCAGUUCAGUUUAAAGGCUCAUGUUUAAAGACUCAU